This 107-nucleotide small nuclear RNA is filed under the name Chrysemys picta bellii (western painted turtle). Lineage: Eukaryota; Metazoa; Chordata; Testudines; Emydidae. The record is from RNAcentral.
GUGUAGACUAACUACCCACAUAUACUAAAAUUGGAACGAUACAGAGAAGAUUAGCAUGGCCCCUGCGAAAGGAUGACACGCAAAUUCGUGAAGCGUUCCAUAUUUUU